UGCUCACAUACGAUAGUACUCACUCUCUGAGUGAGAGGAAAGUCCUGGCAUCAUAACUAUGGUAGCAGCUCACGGCUGCUGCAUCUUCUCGAUUAGGAGGGUAAACGACAGUGCCACAGAGACUAUACUCGUCCACUUCGGUGCGACCAAAGGUGAAAUGCAGAGGUGAACUAUCUCAAUGAUAGGGCUACUCUUCCUGAGUCUGAUAGACUUCAGACCAGUGGUAAACCGUACCUGAUGCAAGCGUCUCUCCUUCAAGUAGAGCGUGCACGAUAGUGCUACAAGCACUCAUAGACAAAUUCUAUCUACGACAGAACCAGGCUUAUGUAUGUGAGUAAUAA
Molecule: RNase P RNA, 341 nt
Filed under: Candidatus Peribacteria bacterium
Lineage: Bacteria; Candidatus Peregrinibacteriota; Candidatus Peribacteria
Description: RNase P RNA component class A
Rfam family: Bacterial RNase P class A
About the family: Ribonuclease P (RNase P) is a ubiquitous endoribonuclease, found in archaea, bacteria and eukarya as well as chloroplasts and mitochondria.
Source: RNAcentral